UCCCUCGUGGCUCAGUUGGUAAAGAAUCUGCCUGCAAUGCAGGAGACCCGGGUUCGAUUCCUGGGUUGGGAA
Molecule: transfer RNA, 72 nt
Filed under: Bos taurus (domestic cattle)
Lineage: Eukaryota; Metazoa; Chordata; Mammalia; Artiodactyla; Bovidae
Also listed under: 5 other names
Rfam family: tRNA
About the family: Transfer RNA (tRNA) molecules are approximately 80 nucleotides in length. Their secondary structure includes four short double-helical elements and three loops (D, anti-codon, and T loops).
Source: Rfam by way of RNAcentral